GAACGGAGAUUAUACGCAGAGGCGAUUUCGGUCAAAUCAUGUAAAAUCUUAGUGGCGGACGGGUGAGUAACGCGUGGGUAACCUGCCUUACACUGGGGGAUAACACUUAGAAAUAGGUGCUAAUACCGCAUAAGCGCACGAAGCCGCAUGGAUUUGUGUGAAAAACUCCGGUGGUGUAAGAUGGACCCGCGUCUGAUUAGCUUGUUGGCGGGGUAACGGCCCACCAAGGCGACGAUCAGUAGCCGGCCUGAGAGGGUGGACGGCCACAUUGGGACUGAGACACGGCCCAAACUCCUACGGGAGGCAGCAGUGGGGGAUAUUGGACAAUGGGGGGAACCCUGAUCCAGCGACGCCGCGUGAGUGAAGAAGUAUUUCGGUAUGUAAAGCUCUGUCAGCAGGGAAGAAAGAAAUGACGGUACCUGACCAAGAAGCCCCGGCUAACUACGUGCCAGCAGCCGCGGUAAUACGUACGGGGCAAGCGUUAUCCGGAAUUACUGGGUGUAAAGGG
This 508-nucleotide ribosomal RNA is filed under the name uncultured bacterium. RNAcentral describes it as "bacterial SSU rRNA". It matches the Rfam family "Bacterial small subunit ribosomal RNA", at positions 42 to 567 of the family's 1533-position model. The record is from RNAcentral.